This 853-nucleotide ribosomal RNA is filed under the name uncultured organism. Its description in RNAcentral is "bacterial SSU rRNA". It matches the Rfam family "Bacterial small subunit ribosomal RNA", at positions 527 to 1382 of the family's 1533-position model. The record is from RNAcentral.
GAAGGGACCUAGCGUAGUUCGGAAUUACUGGGCUUAAAGAGCACGUAGGUGGUUAAAAAAGUUGGUGGUGAAAUCCCAGAGCUUAACUCUGGAACUGCUUCAAAACUUUUUAACUAGAGUGUGAUAGAGGAAAGUAGAAUUUCUAGUGUAGAGGUGAAAUUCGUAGAUAUUAGAAAGAAUACCAAUUGCGAAGGCAGCUUUCUGGAUCAUUACUGACACUGAGGUGCGAAAGCAUGGGUAGCGAAGAGGAUUAGAUACCCUCGUAGUCCAUGCCGUAAACGAUGUGUGCUAGACGUUGGAAAUUUAUUUUCAGUGUCGCAGCGAAAGCAUUAAGCACACCGCCUGGGGAGUACGACCGCAAGGUUAAAACUCAAAUGAAUUGACGGGGACCCGCACAAGCAGUGGAGCAUGUGGUUUAAUUCGAAGAUACGCGCAGAACCUUACCAACACUUGACAUGUUCGUCGCGACUUUAAGAGAUUAAAGUCUUCGGUUCGGCCGGACGAAACACAGGUGCUGCAUGGCUGUCGUCAGCUCGUGUCGUGAGAUGUUGGGUUAAGUCCCGCAACGAGCGCAACCCUUACUUUUAGUUGCCACCAUUUAGUUGAGCACUCUGAAAGAACUGCCAGUGAUAAGCUGGAGGAAGGUGGGGAUGACGUCAAGUCCUCAUGGCCCUUACGUGUUGGGCUACACACGUGCUACAAUGGCACUCACAAUAGGAAGCAAAGAGGCGACUCUAAGCAAAUCUUAAAAAAGUGCCUCAGUUCGGAUUGUACUCUGCAACUCGAGUACAUGAAGCUGGAAUUGCUAGUAAUCGCGGAUCAGCGCGCCGCGGUGAAUACGUUCCCGGGUCUU